RNAcentral lists this microRNA precursor (121 nucleotides) under Gossypium arboreum. RNAcentral describes it as "MIR7504 microRNA precursor family". It matches the Rfam family "MIR7504 microRNA precursor family". The record is from Rfam by way of RNAcentral. Lineage: Eukaryota; Viridiplantae; Streptophyta; Magnoliopsida; Malvales; Malvaceae.
AAUAGGAGAAUGACAAAUUAGAUUUUUCCUCCUGAUUGUCCGCUUUGUACUCUUAAAAAAUUCAAAUUUAACUAAAAAUGUUAAAAAUUAGAGGAAAAAUCUUAUUUGUUAUUCUCCUAUU